This 1655-nucleotide ribosomal RNA is filed under the name Escherichia coli. RNAcentral's name for it is "partial 23S ribosomal RNA". It matches the Rfam family "Bacterial large subunit ribosomal RNA", at positions 1292 to 2925 of the family's 2925-position model. Lineage: Bacteria; Pseudomonadati; Pseudomonadota; Gammaproteobacteria; Enterobacterales; Enterobacteriaceae. The record is from RNAcentral.
GAAUGCUGACAUAAGUAACGAUAAAGCGGGUGAAAAGCCCGCUCGCCGGAAGACCAAGGGUUCCUGUCCAACGUUAAUCGGGGCAGGGUGAGUCGACCCCUAAGGCGAGGCCGAAAGGCGUAGUCGAUGGGAAACAGGUUAAUAUUCCUGUACUUGGUGUUACUGCGAAGGGGGGACGGAGAAGGCUAUGUUGGCCGGGCGACGGUUGUCCCGGUUUAAGCGUGUAGGCUGGUUUUCCAGGCAAAUCCGGAAAACCAAGGCUGAGGCGUGAUGACGAGGCACUACGGUGCUGAAGCGACAAAUGCCCUGCUUCCAGGAAAAGCCUCUAAGCAUCAGGUAACAUCAAAUCGUACCCCAAACCGACACAGGUGGUCAGGUAGAGAAUACCAAGGCGCUUGAGAGAACUCGGGUGAAGGAACUAGGCAAAAUGGUGCCGUAACUUCGGGAGAAGGCACGCUGAUAUGUAGGUGAAGCGACUUGCUCGUGGAGCUGAAAUCAGUCGAAGAUACCAGCUGGCUGCAACUGUUUAUUAAAAACACAGCACUGUGCAAACACGAAAGUGGACGUAUACGGUGUGACGCCUGCCCGGUGCCGGAAGGUUAAUUGAUGGGGUUAGCGGCAACGCGAAGCUCUUGAUCGAAGCCCCGGUAAACGGCGGCCGUAACUAUAACGGUCCUAAGGUAGCGAAAUUCCUUGUCGGGUAAGUUCCGACCUGCACGAAUGGCGUAAUGAUGGCCAGGCUGUCUCCACCCGAGACUCAGUGAAAUUGAACUCGCUGUGAAGAUGCAGUGUACCCGCGGCAAGACGGAAAGACCCCGUGAACCUUUACUAUAGCUUGACACUGAACAUUGAGCCUUGAUGUGUAGGAUAGGUGGGAGGCUUUGAAGUGUGGACGCCAGUCUGCAUGGAGCCGACCUUGAAAUACCACCCUUUAAUGUUUGAUGUUCUAACGUUGGCCCGUAAUCCGGGUUGCGGACAGUGUCUGGUGGGUAGUUUGACUGGGGCGGUCUCCUCCUAAAGAGUAACGGAGGAGCACGAAGGUUGGCUAAUCCUGGUCGGACAUCAGGAGGUUAGUGCAAUGGCAUAAGCCAGCUUGACUGCGAGCGUGACGGCGCGAGCAGGUGCGAAAGCAGGUCAUAGUGAUCCGGUGGUUCUGAAUGGAAGGGCCAUCGCUCAACGGAUAAAAGGUACUCCGGGGAUAACAGGCUGAUACCGCCCAAGAGUUCAUAUCGACGGCGGUGUUUGGCACCUCGAUGUCGGCUCAUCACAUCCUGGGGCUGAAGUAGGUCCCAAGGGUAUGGCUGUUCGCCAUUUAAAGUGGUACGCGAGCUGGGUUUAGAACGUCGUGAGACAGUUCGGUCCCUAUCUGCCGUGGGCGCUGGAGAACUGAGGGGGGCUGCUCCUAGUACGAGAGGACCGGAGUGGACGCAUCACUGGUGUUCGGGUUGUCAUGCCAAUGGCACUGCCCGGUAGCUAAAUGCGGAAGAGAUAAGUGCUGAAAGCAUCUAAGCACGAAACUUGCCCCGAGAUGAGUUCUCCCUGACUCCUUGAGAGUCCUGAAGGAACGUUGAAGACGACGACGUUGAUAGGCCGGGUGUGUAAGCGCAGCGAUGCGUUGAGCUAACCGGUACUAAUGAACCGUGAGGCUUAACCUU